CAACUGCAAACGCGCCCUCGAUCUUUAGAAUUUGCUUAAUUCUUCGUAUGUAAAGAAGUUGGUCCCUGGAAUUAAAAUUUUGUGCCUUCGCACAUCUGAAUUCUGAAAUAUGCUCUAAAAUAAGGAAGCGAGUACACCAAGGCAAGAAUUUAGUACGUUUAGCAUUUGACCCAGUACGGAAAGCUCCUGUGCAGUACACGGUCAGUCCGGUCCAGGAUUGAGAUGCUAGUACGUGUGUACUAUAUUUUCAUAUACUCUCGCAGAACUUAUAUGGGUUCCUAGACAAUGCAAUUAUCGAUCAAAAUCUGGGAAGAUGAGGCUUGUGCUCGCGAAUUCUGGGCAGAGAUUGAAGAGAGGAGUGAAGAGCAUUUCGGGUGUCGAUGUUUGAGGUAAAGAGGGGACAGAGCAGAGGCUGGGAAGAGGCAGAGCAUGGAAUGAGUUAUUGACAGAAACAGGGACUGUUUUGGCUCGACCCUGCACUGCCUCUUCCCUGGCCGUCGCCUCUUCCUCUGCUUCUCCUCCUCCCUAUUCAAUGAGUAAGGAAAGAAUUUAUUUGCUUCCUUGUCAUUUUUUAUUUUCACUCUGUUGAUGUUGUCUGUGGGAAUGGAGAUCAGAGAAGCAACAGACAAGAAUGUCGCCACGGGUCGAGAAUCUCCUGAUGCGGCAGCGUUAGACUAUUUGCUGGAGAUGAGGUAAGAUCUCCAUUAAGAUGAACUCUGGACCACAAACGGCAGGCCUCGAAGUCAAGUAAGCCAUCUUUGACUUCCGUUAUGACUUAUGAGCAAAGUAUGUCUGUUCACUGAUCUUGUGAGCUCAAUAUUUACAUCGAUUCUUGCUUGUGAGUUCAAUUGGUACCUUUUCGCAUACUGCGGCAAUUUUAAGAGUGAUGUUAUGUCUGUCAUGGGAUUGACUUGGCACAUCGUUCAUAUCCAAAGCGGCCUACAGAUAAAGAUUGUGCAAAGUUGAUUUUAAAAAUGUGUCGAGAGGAUAUGGUUCUUGAUUUCGGAGCGAGAGUGAAGUCAUGUGGAACCUCGGCCUGGUGUUUGAGAAAGAGCAGCUUCUGCCAAUUGGUCCGACCCUCCUGUCGUCUCAUUUGACUUUUUGGGGUGCAAGGGAGAACGCCGCCAGGCCAGGAGCUUAGUGGACUGCACCAACCAAUUCCCAUGAGCUGUCGAUGAUGAAGAAUUGUUGUUUUAGAAACGUUCUCGUGCGUAUUUUUUUCUUUUGGCAUGGAGACUCUGUACAUUGGUGGACAGAUGAUGAGUUGUUAAAUCAUAGUUUUGAUGCCUCGGGAGCUAAGAAUUCACUCAAAGAAAUAUCAUACACUCUUACUUUGGAAUACGAUGAAUGAAUUCCCACUCA
Long non-coding RNA from Eucalyptus grandis, 1362 nucleotides. RefSeq lists it as uncharacterized. The transcript has 2 exons. The record is from RefSeq and is a predicted model, not a curated record. Lineage: Eukaryota; Viridiplantae; Streptophyta; Magnoliopsida; Myrtales; Myrtaceae.